RNAcentral lists this ribosomal RNA (112 nucleotides) under uncultured eukaryote. RNAcentral's name for it is "partial small subunit ribosomal RNA". It matches the Rfam family "Bacterial small subunit ribosomal RNA", at positions 1416 to 1525 of the family's 1533-position model. The record is from RNAcentral.
UUUACCUGAAGGCGGUGGGUUAACCCGCAAGGGAGACAGCCGGCCACGGUAAGGUCAGCGACUGGGGUGAAGUCGUAACAAGGUAGCCGUAGGUGAACCUGCAGAAGGAUCA